UUUCAGUUAUUUUUUUAUUUGAUUUUCUUUGUUUUUAGUUGUUGUAAACAUGGUAGUUUUCUCACUAGUUAUCACUGGUAAACGAAAAGACUGACUGCAUUUUUGUAUAUUUAUUUUAAAACUAGCUACCUUACUGAUACUCUUAAUAGUUCCAAAAGUUUUACAGUUUGUUUUCCUGGCGUUUAUGAGUAUAAAAUUAUAUUAGCUGGAAAUUAUGAUAAUUUUGCAUCCUCCCUUCAAGGAUGGAUACCUCUUAUUUCACUUCCUUGAUUAAUUGCAUUGUCUCAAAUGUUCAGAAUAGUACUAAAUAAUUGCGACGAUCUAAGAAAUCCUUAUUUCUGACUCUAAUGGAAACAUUUCCAUUAUUUAUCCACUAAAUACUGGCCUUAAAUUUUCAAUAUGUAUUUAUCUUAUACAUUCAGGCAAUAUCCAUUCCAUCCAACUUCACAAAUUUUUUAAAAAAUCAGGAAAAGAUUUGGAAUUAAAUGUUUUUGGCAGCUAAAAGAGUAUGUUAACUUAUUUACUUAUAUCAAAUUAUCCUUGCAAUCUAGAAUGAAUGACACUUAUUCAUGAUCUACUAUCCUUUCAGUGUCUUAUCCAAUUCUAUUUACUAACAUUUUGUUUAGGAUGUUUUUUUGUUGACAUUCAUAAGUAAGAUUGGUCAGUAGCUUUCUUUUAGUUUAGUAAGAUUUGGCAAUAGUGUAAUGUUGUUUGUACCAUGUAUUUGGAAUAUUUCCUUUUCCUUUAAACUGUUCCAGGGCUCAGUAACAAAAUUUAUUCUGUAUAGAUGUUUAAAAUUUGCUCACAAAAUUAUUCUAUGAGGACUUUUUGAUAAGUGGCUUUUAAAAGCUUUUUCAUUUUCUUCUUUCUUUCAAGUUAAGAAAGACUUGUUUCAGUCUAAUUUUAUUAAAAGUGUUCACUCCUACUUUUGUAUUGCUUUGUUAAAAUUUUCUAUUGUUAA
This is a long non-coding RNA of Aethalodelphis obliquidens (Pacific white-sided dolphin), 961 nucleotides long. RefSeq lists it as uncharacterized. NCBI's taxonomy places the organism in Eukaryota, Metazoa, Chordata, Mammalia, Artiodactyla, Delphinidae. The transcript is spliced from 3 exons. The record is from RefSeq and is a predicted model, not a curated record.